GGUGAACGCUGGCGGCGUGCCUAACACAUGCAAGUCGAACGGACAGACGGUGAGCUUGUGCCUUUGACGGUGGCGGCGGACGGGCGGGUAACGCGUGGAUCACCUACUUAUUUUUCGGGGAUAAUUACGGGAGGCCGGAUCCAAUAAUAGAGAAUAUGUUGAACCGCAUGGAUCAGUGGAUAAUGGCGGUUUUGCUGUCUCAAUUAGCUGGUUCCGCGCUGGAUUAGCUAGUUGGUAAGGUAACAGCUUACCAAGGCGACGAUGCGUAGCCGACCUGAGAGGGUGAUCGGCCACACUGGAACUGAGACACGGUCCAGACUCCUACGGGAGGCAGCAGUAGGGAAUAUUCCGCAAUGGGCGAAAGCUUGACGCAGCAAUGCGGCGUGAGUGAUGAAGGUCUUCGGAUCGUAAAGCCCUGUUAUUGGGGAAGAACAGCUGUAGAUGUAACUACGGACGUUUUGACGGUACCUAAUGAGAAAGCACCGGCUAACUACGUG
Molecule: ribosomal RNA, 497 nt
Filed under: uncultured bacterium
Lineage: Bacteria
Description: partial 16S ribosomal RNA
Rfam family: Bacterial small subunit ribosomal RNA
Source: RNAcentral